GCCGGCGUAGCUCAACGGCAGAGCAGCUGAUUUGUAAUCAGCAGGUUGCGGGUUCAAAUCCCAUCGCCGGCUCCA
Molecule: transfer RNA, 75 nt
Filed under: Deltaproteobacteria bacterium
Lineage: Bacteria; Pseudomonadati; Myxococcota; Myxococcia
Description: tRNA-Thr
Rfam family: tRNA
About the family: Transfer RNA (tRNA) molecules are approximately 80 nucleotides in length. Their secondary structure includes four short double-helical elements and three loops (D, anti-codon, and T loops). Further hydrogen bonds mediate the characteristic L-shaped molecular structure. tRNAs have two regions of fundamental functional importance: the anti-codon, which is responsible for specific mRNA codon recognition, and the 3' end, to which the tRNAs corresponding amino acid is attached (by aminoacyl-tRNA synthetases). tRNAs cope with the degeneracy of the genetic code in two manners: having more than one tRNA (with a specific anti-codon) for a particular amino acid; and 'wobble' base-pairing, i.e. permitting non-standard base-pairing at the 3rd anti-codon position.
Source: RNAcentral